UGAGGAAUAUUGGUCAAUGGCCGGAAGGCUGAACCAGCCAAGUCGCGUGAGGGAAUAAGGCCCUACGGGUCGUAAACCUCUUUUGUCGGGGAGCAAUGGGUGACUUGCGAGUCAUCAGGGAGAGUACCCGAAGAAAAGCAUCGGCUAACUCCGUGCC
This 157-nucleotide ribosomal RNA is filed under the name uncultured bacterium. RNAcentral's name for it is "partial 16S ribosomal RNA". It matches the Rfam family "Bacterial small subunit ribosomal RNA", at positions 355 to 509 of the family's 1533-position model. The record is from RNAcentral.